GCUAGCGUAGCUUAAGUAAAGCGUAACACUGAAGAUGUUAAGAUGGAUUCCCAAAAAUCCCGCAGGCA
Molecule: transfer RNA, 68 nt
Filed under: Bathytroctes microlepis (smallscale smooth-head)
Lineage: Eukaryota; Metazoa; Chordata; Actinopteri; Alepocephaliformes; Alepocephalidae
Description: tRNA-Phe
Rfam family: tRNA
About the family: Transfer RNA (tRNA) molecules are approximately 80 nucleotides in length. Their secondary structure includes four short double-helical elements and three loops (D, anti-codon, and T loops).
Source: RNAcentral